This 403-nucleotide ribosomal RNA is filed under the name Thoe aspera. RNAcentral's name for it is "partial 16S ribosomal RNA". It matches the Rfam family "Bacterial large subunit ribosomal RNA", at positions 1960 to 2570 of the family's 2925-position model. Lineage: Eukaryota; Metazoa; Arthropoda; Malacostraca; Decapoda; Mithracidae. The record is from RNAcentral.
CAUAAUCAUUAGCUUUUUAAUUGUGAGCUUGUAUGAAUGGUUAAACAAAAGAAAUGCUGUCUCUUUUUUAAAAUUUGAAUUUAACUUUUGAGUGAAAAGGCUUAAAUAUAUUAAGGGGACGAUAAGACCCUAUAAAGCUUUAUAAGUAAUUAUAAGCAUUUCUGAGUUAAAGAUAAAAGAAGUAUUUAUAUUGCUUAUUAUGUUGGGGCGACACAGAUAAAAAUUAGUAACUGUCAGGAAAAAAAACAUACAUUUAUGAGAACGUAUGAUCCUUUAUAAAGAUUAAAAGACAAAGUUACUUUAGGGAUAACAGCGUUAUUCUUUUUGAGAGUCCUUAUCGAAAAAAGAGUUUGCGACCUCGAUGUUGAAUCAUAAAAUCUUUAUAGUGCAGGAGCUAUAAAAA